AACGAACGCUGGCGGCAUGCCUAACACAUGCAAGUCGAACGAGACCUUCGGGUCUAGUGGCGUACGGGUGCGUAACGCGUGGGAACCUGCCCUUAGGUUCGGAAUAACUCCCCGAAAGGGGUGCUAAUACCGGAUAAUGUCUUCGGACCAAAGAUUUAUCGCAUUUGGAUGGGCCCGCGUUGGAUUAGCUAGUUGGUAGGGUAAAAGCCUACCAAGGCGACGAUCCAUAGCUGGUCUGAGAGGAUGAUCAGCGACACUGGGACUGAGACACGGCCCAGACUCCUACGGGAGGCAGCAGUGGGGAAUAUUGGACAAUGGGCGAAGGCCUGAUCCAGCAAGGCCGCGUGAGUGAUGAAGGCCUUAGGGUUGUAAAGCUCUUUUACCCGGGAUGAUAAUGACGGUACCGGGAGAAUAAGCUCCGGCUAACUCCGUG
RNAcentral lists this ribosomal RNA (433 nucleotides) under uncultured bacterium. Its description in RNAcentral is "partial 16S ribosomal RNA". It matches the Rfam family "Bacterial small subunit ribosomal RNA", at positions 29 to 507 of the family's 1533-position model. The record is from RNAcentral.